RNAcentral lists this ribosomal RNA (1143 nucleotides) under uncultured bacterium. Its description in RNAcentral is "bacterial SSU rRNA". It matches the Rfam family "Bacterial small subunit ribosomal RNA", at positions 258 to 1401 of the family's 1533-position model. The record is from RNAcentral.
UAACGGCCCACCAAGGCGACGAUCAGUAGGGGUUCUGAGAGGAAGGUCCCCCACAUUGGAACUGAGACACGGUCCAAACUCCUACGGGAGGCAGCAGUGAGGAAUAUUGGUCAAUGGGCGAGAGCCUGAACCAGCCAAGUAGCGUGAGGGACGACUGCCCUAUGGGUUGUAAACCUCUUUUGUUUGGGAAUAAAGUGCGCCACGUGUGGCGCAUUGCAUGUACCAUUUGAAUAAGGACCGGCUAAUUCCGUGCCAGCAGCCGCGGUAAUACGGAAGGUCCGGGCGUUAUCCGGAUUUAUUGGGUUUAAAGGGAGCGUAGAUGGGUUGUUAAGUCAGUUGUGAAAGUUUGCGGCUCAACCGUAAAAUUGCAAUUGAUACUGGCAGCCUUGAGUACAGUUGAGGUAGGCGGAAUUCGUGGUGUAGCGGUGAAAUGCUUAGAUAUCACGAAGAACUCCGAUUGCGAAGGCAGCCUACUAAACUGCCACUGACAUUGAUGCUCGAAAGUGUGGGUAUCAAACAGGAUUAGAUACCCUGGUAGUCCACACGGUAAACGAUGAAUACUCGCUGUUUGCGAUAUACAGCAAAGCGGCCAAGCGAAAGCGUUAAGUAUUCCACUGGGGAGUACGCCGGCAACGGUGAAACUCAAAGGAAUUGACGGGGGCCCGCACAAGCGGAGGAACAUUGUGGUUUAAUUCGAUGAUACGCGAGGAACCUUACCCGGGCUUGAAUUGCACUCGAAUAUAGCGGAAACGUUAUAGCUAGCAAUAGCGAGUGUGAAGGUGCUGCAUGGUUGUCGUCAGCUCGUGCCGUGAGGUGUCGGCUUAAGUGCCAUAACGAGCGCAACCCUUGUCUAUAGUUACUAACAGGUCAUGCUGAGGACUCUAUGGAGACUGCCAUCGUAAGAUGUGAGGAAGGUGGGGAUGACGUCAAAUCAGCACGGCCCUUACGUCCGGGGCCACACACGUGUUACAAUGGGGGGUACAGAGGGCCGCUACCACGCAAGUGGAUGCCAGUCCCGAAAGCCUCUCUCAGUUCGGACUGGAGUCUGCAACCCGACUCCACGAAGCUGGAUUCGCUAGUAAUCGCGCAUCAGCCAUGGCGCGGUGAAUACGUUCCCGGGCCUUGCACACAACGCCCGUCAAG